Molecule: long non-coding RNA, 1811 nt
Organism: Helianthus annuus (common sunflower)
Lineage: Eukaryota; Viridiplantae; Streptophyta; Magnoliopsida; Asterales; Asteraceae
Exons: 5
Source: RefSeq, a predicted model, not a curated record
GCCAACCCCAUGUAAAUUGUCUCCUUUUUCUGCUGUUGGUAUCUCUUUUUUUAUGGGUAUAAGUCGCUAUAAUAGAUUUCGGUGUGUUGCUUUAAUUAAAUAUAUUACAAGUUAUGUGUUACAAGUUAAGAAGGAUAGAAGUUUGUGAAGAUAUGUGUUACAAGUUAUAAAAGGGAACAAAAUCCCCAAAUGGGUCAACCAGGUAGCCAGAAUAGGUACUAUAUCAUCCCCUUUUUAAAUUUCUUUGGUUAUGGAUGUCCAUAUUGACCCAUUUACACAUGAAUCAGUUAGUUUAGAAUGUGUUUUAUUCUGAACACAUACAAAAUGUCACACUAAUCCUUUCAUUUAAUGAUUUAAAUUAAUCAUGUUCUAAUUCAAUAACUAUUUAUUAUUGUUGUUGUAAAUGGAUAAAAAAAGUGGGUGGGUUAUUCAUGACUCAAGCCCUGCUGGCCUAUAUUGCCUGGUACCAAAAAAUAACCAUUUCAAUUUAAACGAUUUUAGCGAGUUACCCAACCUACCUGACCCACUUUACAUUGUACCUUGACUUUUAGUUAUGCUGGCAUUGUGAGCUCAUCUUCUCAUGUUUUUUUUUAGAUUCAUAUUGUCACUACAUACUUCCAAAGGCUAUCAAGGGUAGUUCUGCUGUUAGAAAUGAAUCAAACUCUCAAGAAAAUGAAAAGAGGAGUUUAACGAGUAGGUGCACAUAAAUUAUCUCCCAUUUAAAGGAUGCAGAGGGUAUAGUUAAGCCAUAUUUGUGGGGCUUGGACGCCGGUUGAAAAGAACAAAGCCAAACAUUCACGCUUGCCUGAAAAUGAUGAGGUAAUUUGGGAAAAUGAGAAUCUGAAUUUUAUAAUAUGGUUAAAGCCUACGAAUAUGGCAGUUUGAUUUGGACCAGAGACGAGUGGGGAAUACUAUGGGCCAGUUAAAUAGGUAACCUAAUGCUUUUCUCAACUUUUUUAUUGAGUGUACUUCUUAAGAAUUACAUUUGGUUGCUAUGUCAUCCAAAUUUUAAUAAAGAUUAGAGGUGGCAAGAUGGGCAUUCUAGGCCAAUUUUGUAGUACGGGUCAGGUUAUGUUGAAUCAACCCGAAAACACCUUUUAGUCUAUGGUUUACAAUAAUUACUUUGUUUAUCAUUACAAUAAUAAUCUAAACUUUUUACACAGUUCAUCUAGGAGGUUCUAUGCUUAAGAAUGUAGCCUUUGGUAUACUUUCAAGUUUCAAUCCAUUUGUUCCAUUUUUACUUUUUAGCCAUUUUUUUAAUUUGACCCGUUUGAUAUAAAAUAAAACCCAAAUCGAUCCAUUUAUAAGUAAAAGGGUAGUAGUUGCCGCUUUUUAUUACUAGAGAUUAAACUUACAGCUUCGAUGUCUGUGGGCACGCAUAUAAGGAAGUGGCUGAAAUCAAAGGACAAUGUAGUUGUGGUGGAUGGAUCUCGGUUCGAAAAUAGAUCGAGCCGUCUGAUGUUCAAAUCGAAGCAACCUAGCAGAUUCUGUAGUUUACGAUUGUUACAAUACAGUUCAAACGUCAUUUGAUCAACAAUUGUUUUAACACCGUCAACGUAUCUACGUUUUGCACGCAUAAUGGAGUUUGGUGCUAAUCGGAUCCCCACCGGAUCUCCACGGCAACGUGUGAGUUUCGGAGUUUGCAAUGUUAUCAUACCAAGAAUGAUUCGGUUAAGCGCAACAUGGCGCUGUGUAUAAAGGUGGUAUUUGGUUUUGAAUAGACAAAUAAAAAUAAAUUACAAUUGUGCUAAUCUUUAGAAAAAGAAACUUAUGGUUACAUGUUCAAUGAACAAUUACUAUUUGAUGUUUAA